Molecule: long non-coding RNA, 340 nt
Filed under: Gossypium barbadense (sea-island cotton)
Lineage: Eukaryota; Viridiplantae; Streptophyta; Magnoliopsida; Malvales; Malvaceae
Description: long non-coding RNA (GBAR_LNC013994)
Source: RNAcentral
GCCAUAUGCUCCACACAGCCUACCACACGGCUAUGUGUCACUGAGUAGUUUUGAAAAUAGCCCAUGUUUCGUGAAUUUCUCGAGUUUUGAGUGAUAAAUCAGGUUAGAGUCACACACUUGAUUGAAGAUUUGAUCGCUCACACAACCACAACACUUCAAAACCUACAUACCAUGUUUAACAGAACUGAUUAUCAUACAAUCAAAUGCCAAAAUCUCACUCAAAACACUCAUUUUUCCUUAAAGAAAUAGUCCCUAAAUAAGCACACGGGCACUUACUUCACAUGCACCACGUCAAAACAACGAUUACAUUGCUAGAAGGUUUCAAUUCUCCCACCCUUCG